RNAcentral lists this ribosomal RNA (253 nucleotides) under uncultured bacterium. RNAcentral's name for it is "partial 16S ribosomal RNA". It matches the Rfam family "Bacterial small subunit ribosomal RNA", at positions 524 to 776 of the family's 1533-position model. The record is from RNAcentral.
UACAGAGGUCCCAAGCGUUGUUCGGAUUCACUGGGCGUAAAGGGUGCGUAGGUGGUAGAUCAAGUCGGGUGUGAAAUCUCCGGGCUCAACCCGGAGCGUGCGCCCGAAACUGGUCUGCUAGAGGGUGGGAGGGGAGACUGGAAUUCUCGGUGUAGCAGUGAAAUGCGUAGAUAUCGAGAGGAACACCGGUGGCGAAGGCGAGUCUCUGGACCACUCCUGACACUGAGGCACGAAAGCCGGGGGAGCAAACAGG